AUUGAACGCUGGCGGCAGGCCUAACACAUGCAAGUCGAGCGGCAGCGGGAAAGUAGCUUGCUACUUUUGCCGGCGAGCGGCGGACGGGUGAGUAAUGCCUGGGAAAUUGCCCAGUCGAGGGGGAUAACAGUUGGAAACGACUGCUAAUACCGCAUACGCCCUACGGGGAAAGGAGGGGACCUUCGGGCCUUUCGCGAUUGGAUGAACCCAGGUGGGAUUAGCUAGUAGGUGAGGUAAAGGCUCACCUAGGCUUCGAUCAGUAGCUGGUCUGAGAGGACGACCAGCCACACUGGAACUGAGACACGGUCCAGACUCCUACGGGAGGCAGCAGUGGGGGAAUUUUGGACAAUGGGCGCAAGCCUGAUCCAGCCAUUCCGCGUGAGUGAAGAAGGCCUCGGUUGGUAAAGACUCUUUCGUCAAGGGAAGAAACGUUACGAGCGAAUAACU
RNAcentral lists this ribosomal RNA (447 nucleotides) under uncultured bacterium. Its description in RNAcentral is "bacterial SSU rRNA". It matches the Rfam family "Bacterial small subunit ribosomal RNA", at positions 30 to 468 of the family's 1533-position model. The record is from RNAcentral.